CAAAGCAGUGCCCUGUUGGAGCCAGGCUGAGGGGGGCAGUGGGAGAGCCUUCCCUCUCUGCCAGGCUAGGCAGAAAUGACUCAUCUGUAAGCUAUUCCGUCACCAGGGGAGGCUUGGAGCAGACGCUGGAGGGGACAGUGUUCAGGUAGCCUUCCUGCAAGUGGUGACGCAGGCACCAGACUCUUUGUGCCUCGUGCUGGGACACCUCGCCUCUGCCCAUGCUGUGCCGGCCACCGCUGACGGCGGAGGAGCUGCGAGAUGCGGUGAGGUGGGUGCCUGGGAAGAGGAGAAAAUGGACUUGGUGACCAGCUGCCCGGUCCUGCCACACCAGGUUAGAGCUGGUUUUCACCUCCCGAACGUCACGGUCAGGAGCCUGGUGAAGAGAGACGCGCCGGGCCUAGAGCUCUUGGUCUAGAGGGGGAGAAAGGCUGCCCAGGAGGGGAGGUG
This 447-nucleotide long non-coding RNA is filed under the name Dasypus novemcinctus (nine-banded armadillo). RNAcentral describes it as "lncRNA (ENSDNOG00000052315.1)". Lineage: Eukaryota; Metazoa; Chordata; Mammalia; Cingulata; Dasypodidae. The record is from RNAcentral.